CUCUUCCCUUCGUUCCGUUGAAUGUUGUUCUGGUUCUUUCUGAUUUUCCUCAACUUCAGUAACCACAGGUUCACCUUUUACUGUUUCUGUAGGCUCAACUUCAGUAGCCACAGGUUCUUCUUUUACCGUUUCUGUAGCUUGAACUUCAGUAGCCACAGGUUCUUCUUUUACCAUUUCUCUAGGAUCAACUUCAGUAACCACAGGUUUGACUUUUACUGAUUCUGUCAGAUCAACUUCAGUAACCAGGGGUUCUUUUACUGUUUUUGUAAUUUCAACUUCUGUAGCCACAGCUUCUUCUUUUACUGUCUCUGUAGGAUCAACUUCAGUAACUAUAGGUUCGUCUUUUACCGUUUCUGUUGCCUCGAAUUCAGUAGCUGCAGGUUCAUCUUUUACCAUUUCUGUAGGCUCAACUACAGUUGUCACAGGUUCUUCUUUUACGGUUUCUGUAGCUUCAACUUCAGUAGCCACAGAUUCUUCUUUUACUGUUUCUGUAGCUUCAACUUCAGUAGCCACUGGUUCUUCUUUUACUGUUUCUGUAGCUUCAACUUCAGUAGCCACUGGUUCUUCUUUUACUGUUUCUGUAGCUUCAACUUCAGUAGCUGCAGGUUCGUCUUUUACCGUUUCUGUAGCCUCAACUUCAGUUGCCACAGGUUCUUCUUUUACCGUUUCUGUAGGCUCAACUUCAGUAGCCACGGGUUCUUCUUUUACUGUUUCUGUAGCUUCAGCUUCAGUAGCUAGAGGUUCUUCUUUUACCGUUUCUGUAGGAUCAACUUCAGUAACCACAGGUUCGUCUUUUACGGUUUCUGUAACCUUAACUUCAGUAGCUGCAGGUUCUUCUUUUACUGUUUCCGUAGCCUCAACUUCAGUAGCCACAAGUUCUUCUUUUAGUGUUUCUGUAGCCUCAACUUCAGUAACCACGGGUUCUUCUUUUACUAUCUCUGCA
This 943-nucleotide long non-coding RNA is filed under the name Medicago truncatula (barrel medic). RNAcentral describes it as "long non-coding RNA (MTRU_LNC006373)". The record is from RNAcentral. Lineage: Eukaryota; Viridiplantae; Streptophyta; Magnoliopsida; Fabales; Fabaceae.